This 276-nucleotide ribosomal RNA is filed under the name uncultured bacterium. RNAcentral describes it as "partial 16S ribosomal RNA". It matches the Rfam family "Bacterial small subunit ribosomal RNA", at positions 44 to 334 of the family's 1533-position model. The record is from RNAcentral.
GUGCCUAACACAUGCAAGUCGAACGAGAAAGUGGAGCAAUCCAUGAGUACAGUGGCGUACGGGUGAGUAACACGUGACUAACCUACCCUCGAGUGGGGAAUAACCUCGGGAAACCGGGGCUAAUACCGCAUAACAUCUACGGAUCAAAUGCGUAAGCAGCUUGAGGAGGGGGUCGCGGCCGAUUAGCUAGUUGGCGGGGUAAUGGCCCACCAAGGCAAUGAUCGGUAGCCGGCCUGAGAGGGCGCACGGCCACACUGGAACUGAAACACGGUCCAG